GUUGGGAGGAGGCUGAAGAGUGGGCUGCGUCUCAAAUCGCGACAUUUCCGGACCAACCUCCGGAGGAACACUAGGUCCCCCACAGUGCCCUGGGCCACCACCACUGUCAGCCAUGCUCUGCUGGGCAACUUUGAGGAGUCCAUCCUGAAGGGGCGCUUUGCACCAUCGGGGAGGAUCGAGGGUUUCACAGCAGAGAUCGGUGCCAGUGGCUCCUACUGUCCCCAGCAUGUCACCCUGCCUGUCGACGUCACCUACUUCGACAUCUCUGAACACAGCGUGCCCUCGCCUUUCCUGGGAGUGAUUGACUUGG
Molecule: long non-coding RNA, 310 nt
Organism: Pyrgilauda ruficollis (rufous-necked snowfinch)
Lineage: Eukaryota; Metazoa; Chordata; Aves; Passeriformes; Passeridae
Exons: 4
Source: RefSeq, a predicted model, not a curated record